ACCCAACAGACCAACAAAACGAUCUAAAGUUAUGGAAUGAAAAGAAAAUUGAACAUCUACAGCGUGUCAUUAAUCAGUUGAGAGAAGAGAACUCGAAUCUAAAAAGAGAGAACGAGAGGCUGAAAAAUGAAAUACUUGAAAAAAUCCCACCUCUCCUUCAGGCUACAGAACAUUUACUUACCAAGCCCAUGACAAUGAAUGCAGAUCUUCCUGACAUGUCAAAGUCUCAACCUGAUGCUGCCCUCCCUCAUUCUCCUAAAGUGCCCAACUCUUCAUGCAAAGCUUCUACAUCUGGUGAUGCUAAAGGUACCAGUGAUGCUGAAUAUGUAAGUAAUUUUUGCUGAGAAUUUCGGUAGGUGCAUACUCAAAUGUGUUUUUUAAAAACAAUUUAUAUUGAAACACUCUUUUUAUGUGAUUGCAACCACAGG
Long non-coding RNA from Oreochromis niloticus (Nile tilapia), 428 nucleotides. RefSeq lists it as uncharacterized. The transcript has 6 exons. Lineage: Eukaryota; Metazoa; Chordata; Actinopteri; Cichliformes; Cichlidae. The record is from RefSeq and is a predicted model, not a curated record.